GGGGUUGUGGCUCAGCGGUAGAGGUCGCUUAGUAUGUGCGAGGUCCUGGGUUUGAUCCUCAGCACCACA
This 69-nucleotide transfer RNA is filed under the name Marmota monax (woodchuck). RNAcentral describes it as "tRNA.Tyr". Lineage: Eukaryota; Metazoa; Chordata; Mammalia; Rodentia; Sciuridae. The record is from RNAcentral.